AUUCCAGACCCAGAGAAAAGGCAGAAACACAGAUUCCAACAACUAGAUACUGCAUGACACCAUGGUUACGUUUGAGCUUGAAGGACACAUGCGGCAACCACUCAUACCAUAAACAACAAGAAAGAAACUCAUACUAGAAUUGCGUGGACUGCAUGGAAAAGAAUGUUGAGGGGUUCUCCCUAAAAGAAGACUUUUAAGCAGGAUUGCUGACUGCAAGACCAGACCUUUGGUCUUGUGAUUAGAGUUUCAGGUCUCCAGCUACCGAAGAAUCUUACCAUCCACAGUAUUUUGGGUUCCACGUGGAUUUGGAUCGCUUUCCAACGAUGAGUUUUUGACCAUUUUGUGGUGACGAGUUUUCGCUUUUGUUAAUGCAGAGGAGCUAGCAGUGUGAUCUUGCUCCUCGGAAUGUCUGCUCAGCCGGAUCAAUGUGUCGAGGAGGUAAGCUGAAAGUUCAUCAUGAAGUGCAGAUAGGUACUGCAUUAGACACUGAGCAUUUGAAGCUUUUGGGUUCUUGAAGUCAUGCUGGGAGUUGUCCUUUCAUGCGAUAGCGUUGGUAGUUGUCGAUUUGAACUUUGACUGCCAUGCAGUCGAAGUACGUGCUCCUCGCUUUCUCGUUCUUGGUUGUGGGAAACCUAAAACCCGCACUGACUCGCACGGAAGUGAUUGCGAUUUCUGGUUGAAGAAGACAAUUCAUGAGGCAACGCUUGGUGGACACCUGAUAGCAGAGCAUCACCUAAUCUUCCAUUGCGGUCCAAAAGUUGGAAGGUACCACCUCAGGAUACAGACCGGAGACAAGCUCACAACGCCCGUGAAGUGAAGAAUUCUGCAGACAUGUCCAUGCGAGACUUGUCUGGUUUAGGGUUACGCUCAAAAUUGUCACGAACGAUGGUCCAGAGCGUUUGCAUGGUCGGACAGUCAAUUGUACUUCCAUGAGAUCCGGUAAAUAGUGUGGCUCAUCCACAGUACGGUGGACUCAUGUACAGUUUUCAAGUCCCAAACGUUUCAAACAAAUGCUUACAUGCCGUCCAAACCUAUACAACCUCAAGAGGAAAAUAUCACAACAAAAAUGUUCGAGUCGUCAAAGACAAUCGAAACCUGCUGGAAAAACGAGUAGCAUUUCCAAGGUUAAUGACUCGAGUGUGAUUCUAAAUUAAUGGACAACCUCCAGGGAGACGUUU
Non-coding RNA from Physcomitrium patens, 1178 nucleotides. Lineage: Eukaryota; Viridiplantae; Streptophyta; Bryopsida; Funariales; Funariaceae. The record is from RefSeq and is a predicted model, not a curated record.